AAGAAUUUAUAAUCCGGCGAGGGAGAACGAGGGAAGCUGUCGCUGGCCUUUUGCGAGGCAUGUGCACGCAUCUUUCUGGAUCCUUCGUCGUAUGGGCGCGGGGCGACCCGCGUCUUCAUAUACCCCUUCGUGUAGAAAGUCUUUGAAUGUUAUACCAUCAUCGAGUCGCGACUUCUAGGAGACGCGAUUCUUUGAGACAAAAGUUAUUA
Molecule: unclassified non-coding RNA, 209 nt
Filed under: uncultured Suillus
Lineage: Eukaryota; Fungi; Basidiomycota; Agaricomycetes; Boletales; Suillaceae
Description: sequence contains ITS1
Source: RNAcentral